This 497-nucleotide ribosomal RNA is filed under the name uncultured bacterium. RNAcentral describes it as "partial 16S ribosomal RNA". It matches the Rfam family "Bacterial small subunit ribosomal RNA", at positions 28 to 507 of the family's 1533-position model. The record is from RNAcentral.
GAUGAACGCUGGCGGCGUGCCUAAUACAUGCAAGUCGAGCGAACGGACGAGAAGCUUGCUUCUCUGAUGUUAGCGGCGGACGGGUGAGUAACACGUGGAUAACCUACCUAUAAUACUGGGAUAACUUCGGGAAACCGUAGCUAAUACCGGAGAAUAUUUUGAACCGCAUGGUUCAAGAGUGAAAGACGGUCUUGCUGUCACUUAUAGAUGGAUCCGCGCUGCAUUAGCUAGUUGGUAAGGUAACGGCUUACCAAGGCAACGAUGCAUAGCCGACGUGAGAGAGUGAUCGGCCACACUGGAGCUGAGACAGGGACAAGACUACUACGGGAGGCAGCAGUAGGGAAUCUUCCGCAGUGGGCGAAAGCCUGACGGAGCGACGGCGCGUGAGUGAUGAAGGUCUUCGGAUCGUAAAACUCUGUUAUUGGUGAAGAACAUAUGUGUAAGUAACUGAGCACAUCUUGACGGUACCUAAUCAGAAAGCCACGGCUAACUACGUG